UUUUCUGGAAGGGACAAAGUUUAAUUUCAUUAGCAAAGCAAAUACCAGUAGUAGCACAUCGGUACAUCAGUUAAAUAGUAUAAUUUCAUUAGGUAUAUAUUCUACUAGGAGAUGACUGACCUUCCCAUAAAAUGAGAGAGAUUAAUUAUUUAAUCUUUUCUAUACAGUUAAAUCCACGGCAAUUUAUGGAAAUUAUUACAAUUAUCUCUACAUAGAACAUAUAUAUUACAAAUUUUAAAAUUCUUGUUAAAACAUGAGGGAUGAUUACACGAGUGGAACUUAAUCUCAGCAAAUUUUAUUUCCGUUUUGGCAAGAGGAUUUCAGAAAUUCACUGUAGAGUAAUUAUUAUAGAGUAGCUUUAAAAGCAAAGCUUUUUCAUUUGGAUUUUAAGCAGUUUUGCAACGAUCUUUAUUUGAUAUUUAGAACAAUCCCAUGAAAUAGACACAAGAACACUCUGAAUCUGAGUUUCCGUUGAGAGCGUGUGAGAAGAAAAUGCCAAAUCCAAGACCAGAAACUGGGUGUUGUGACGCCUAUGCCUUUGGUUUGUGUAUCGAACAAGGUGUUCAAAUAAUAACAAAAUCUGGACAUGUCUCCAAAGAAGAGAUGCAGUUGGUAGAUAAGCAUAUGAAAACACACUUAAUAUCAUGUAAUUAGGGAACUGAUAAUUCGAAAAACGAGACCGCUACACACCCAUCAGGAUGGCUAAAAUCUAAAACAUUGGCAACAAUAAAUGCUGGCGAGGAUGUGGAGCAACAGGGAAUCACAUUCAUUGCAAGUGGGAAUGCAGAAUGUUAAUAUCACUUUGAAAGACAAUUUGGCGGUUCCUUACAAUGCUAAACAUAGCCUUGCCAUAUGAUCCAGCAAUCAUGCGGCUAGACAUUUAUCCAAAAUAACUGAAAUCCACAAAAACCUGCACACAAAUGUUUAUAGCAGCCUUAUUCAAAAUUGCCAAAACUUGGAAGCAGCCGAGAUGUUCUUUAGUUGGUAAAUGAACACACAAACGGGCGUAUCAGUACAGGGGCGUAGUAUUUAGUGAUGAAACGAGCCGUAAAGACCCACGGGGAACUUUUUUUUUUUUUGACCCACGGGGAACUUAAAAUGCCUGUUAACUGACAGGUGAAAAUUUGAAAAGACUGUAUACUUUAUGAUUUCAAUUAUGUGAUAUUUUGGAAAAGUCAACACCAUAGAGGCCAGGAAAAGAUAAAGGUCUCCAGGGACUUGAUGGUAAGGAGGAGGGUUGAGCUCGUGGGGCAUAGUGAAUGUUUAGGGCAGUGGAACUAUUCUGGGUGAUAUCAUGAUUGUGGACACAUGACACGACACAUUUGUCAACGCCAGCAAACUGUGCAGCACAGAGUAAACCUUAAUAUAAAUAUAGACAUCUGCUCAUUAUAAUGGAUCAGUAUUGGUUCAUCAGUUGUAACAAGAUAUUGCGAGGCAAGAUAUUAACAACAGGGUAACGGUGUGCCGAGGAAAAGGGUUUAUAAGAACUCUUUGUACUUUUUGCUCCAUUUUGUGUAAACUUAAAAAUACUCUAAAACAAUAAAGUACAUUAAUUAAAAUAAAAUACACACUGAUUUAAAUUCUUGUAUAAUGUGUUUGUCAUGUUCUACCAUUAUCUUGUAGGUCACUACCCUCAACUUAACUUAUACACUAUUUUAUGUGUGUAUAUAAAAUUUAACAUGAAGGGGUUCCUGGGUGGCUCAGUGAGUUAAGUGACUGCCCUGUGAUUUGGGCUCAGGUCACAAUUUAAUGGGUCAUGAGAUGGAGCUCCCUGGCAGGCUCUGUGCUCAGCGCAAAUUCUGCUUGAGAUUCUCUCUGCCUUUCCCCCUACUCAUGUGCUCUCUCUCUUUCUCUCUCUCUGUCUAAUAAAUAAAUCUAAAAAAAAUUUAAAUGUGAGACAGAACAAUGCAUUAAAAUAAAACCUAUAAAACAAAUCCUAAUCAUUUGAAAACUUAAUAGGUUUCUUCACCUAAGAUCUUUUUUUCUCACAGCUGCUCAGAGAAAAUGAAUCCUGCAAAGAAUGGCUUAAUGAAAUUGCAACUCUUUUUCCCGUUACUAAUGGACACGAUGAAAGCAUUCAGCAAAAUAAAUGAGCAUGUAAAAUAUCUUAUUUUCUUUCAUUCUUUUCACUCUAUUUUCCUAUCACAAAAGCUAUUUUUUUACCUUGUUUAUCUGACCAUUUAAAUGCUUUUCCCAUGGGGGGCCUGGGUGGCUCAGUCGGUUAAGCCUCUAACUGUUGAUUUCAGCUCAGGUCAUGACCUCAGGGUGGUGAGAUGGAGCGUGGUAUAGGGUGUGCGCUAGGAGCGGAGUCUGCUUAAGAUUUUCUUUCUCCCUUUCCCUCCCUACUUGUGCACGUGCUCUGUCUUUCUCUCUAAAUCAAUCGGUCAAUCAAGAGAGUUAAUUUUGGGGACAUCAAGGAGGUUCAGUUGGUUGAGUUAAUCAACUUGAUCUCAGUUCAGGUCAAGAUCUCAGGGUUGUGAGAUCAUGCCUCACGUCAGGCUCUGUGUGAGCAUGGAGACCAGUUAGGGUAUUAUCUCUCUAUCUCUCUGUCUCUCUGUCUCUCUGUCUCCCUCCCUCCCUACUGCUGGGGUGUGCAUUCUCCCUUUCUAAAUGAAUUAAUUAAUAAAAAUACUUUUCCCCAAAAUCUUGAACUUGGCCUUGAUGUUUAUUUCUAUACCCCCCUAACUCUUCCAUAUUAUGACAAUGGUUUUCUUACAUUUUAAUAAAACAUAUUGUGUAACUGUACCUAUGUGUCAGAUAUUUUGAUACCGAAUUUCAAAACAUUCAUAUUAUAUUUUGAUGUGAUAUAAUAGGGUUAUGAGUGCCCUUACAAGGAGUCUCACUAUAAUUAUCUACUUAAGACACUGUAUUUUUAUGGACUCAUUUUAUGUCAUUUAAGAUAAAAUUUGAAAUGUCUUAUUGAAAUUAUCUGAUGCUCAUCAUUAUUUGACCCAGAGGUUAGCGGUAAGCUUACACGAGCAGAGGAUAGCUAUGUGGUGUGUACAUGAUGGAUAAUGUUUUCACUCAAAAUCUCUUCUCAGCCCUUAAAGAGGGGACUUUUUAUCACUUCAGUUAUAGAGUUCUUAGACACAGUAGCUCUGUUCAGAAAAGGAAUCUGCAGCAGCCAGAACUCUGGCUGCGCUGAUGUAAUGUUCUCAAAAUGUGGUCCCCAGACUAGGGAUCAGCAGCCUCAGCAUCACCUGAGAACUUGCUAGAAAUGCAAAUUAUCGGCCCUUAUCCAGGAGCUACCGAGUCAGAAACCCUGGGGAGGGCGUUCAGAAUCUGUAUCCUCCGGGUGAUUCUGAUCCAGGCCAGCGUUUGGGAAUCAGUGCUCUGUAGCCUCGGGUACAGCGUUUAGACUCUCGGCUCUGAGGCAAAGUCAAAGAGUAAAUCAAAUUACUGGACAGAGUAGUAGCUCCUAGUUAAUACUGAAACACGGAUUAAAAUUAAGACGAAGACUCCACACAACAUAGUAUGCUUCAGAUGCACAUACUCCCCCCCCCUUUUUUUUUAAUGACUUAUGAUAAAGGUUAGAUCAUAGAAAUGAGAACUUUUCCCAACAGGGCUUGUGAUCCCGGAGCUAAUGGGGAUUGCCGGAGUUGAUAAAUGUCUGUGUCACAACAUAGAUCACAGACCAGUACCCCUAAAAUUUAGUGUCCUGAAAUCAAAUCAGUGAUAAUUAGGAUAUAAGUUUUCAAGACGCAAGGUCAUUUGCUAUAUAACACUCUUAUGGGGGGAGGAAGGUGAAGGGGUAACUUGUUUUCAAUUAGUUCAUCAUUACACCUGCACAUUAUCAUGAGAAGUCACGACUAUACUUUUCUUUCCUUUUCUAAAGAAAGUGAAGGAUCUUCCUUGAGAAAACGUCAAAGAAUGCACUGAAGUGAGCUGGUUCAUUGGGAGAAAAAUUAAUUUUUUGUCCAUGAGGCCAAUAGUUUAAACUCAGACCAGUCAUAUAUUGAAUGCAAACUAAUGCCGGCAGUGCUGUUUACGUGGAAGAGCUGAGUCGUGAAGGGAAAAUAUAGUUGAACGUCAAUGUGAAAUGGUUUAUCCUGGGGUUUUCUACCUAUCGCCCUGACAUUCAACAACAGUUUGAGGUUAAAUGUUACGGAUUUAUAAAACUUAUAAGAGCUCUAUGGAAAGUAGUAGUUGAUAGAAAUGGAAUGGAUUUCCCCUUAUCUCCAAAUUUCCCUUUAAAUUUAUUUCUGUCAACAGUUACAUUCUAAUGUUAUUUUCUCUUGUCUAGAAUAUAUAGCUUCAUCAAGAGGUCCUCAACUGCAUGUAUGAUACGAUUUUCACAGAAUUAUUUUUUUUAAUCAGUUCCUCGCCAUCAUGUAUUCCCCACAUCAAUGGCCCCACCAUCAAUUUAGGAACUUGAUGGAAUGUUGAAAUACCAAUUAUUAUUUUUCUUUCCUGCAUAACAUAGCUCUUUAAUCUUCAGUUGGGUACACAGUCAAGCGCUACAUUCCCAAACCACUGGUGUGACCACGUGACAAAGUGAUAGCCAAUUGUCACAUGCAGCUGUAAAGCCCUUUGCUUAAAGGGAAGGGCAAUGCCCUCCCUUUGCCCUCCUUGCCUUUGCCUUUGCUGAAGCACGUCUGCAGGGACAGGAGCCAGAGCAGUCACCCUGGGUUACAAGACGGGAGCCACGUGGUCAGUCCUGGAGAACACCCAGGUACAAGACCCGGGUCACGGACACCAUCAAGGCCUGCAUACACGCUGACUAUGGGGGAUGAGAGAAAUGAAUCAUUUCACUUAAGCUCUUAUUGUUUUGGGGGGUCUUUUAGAGAAUUUGAUGUUUACGCUCCCUGAUAUACUGGGGGGACCUACUGUACUUCACGUGUAUACACAGGUUUGUUUAUCGAAAGAGAGACAACACACCUGUUGAUAUAAGAUAAAAAUAAAGGGGAAAAGCAUUGUUAUAAUGUGUUUGCUUUUUCAAAUCCUUGCUUUAACUUUUUUGAUCCUGAAACUCAGUUAACAAUAAUUACUGAGCACAUUCUAGGCUCAAGAUACUCCUCAGGGCUGCAGGGAUGCAACGGAAAGCAAACCAGCCAAGGUUGCUGCUCUUAACUGGUCUUCCUGCUGCUAGGGAACUGAGAGAGCAAGCAUGUAUACAUACAUAACAUGGAUUGCACACAUAAUAAUAAGACUAAAUUGGUGCAAAAGUAUCUUAAUUUCUUUGAAAAUUAAGAAAAAUCCCAAACAAGGAUUAUUACAUCUCUUACUUAAAAUCAGUUAAAAAAAAAAAAAAAAA
RNAcentral lists this long non-coding RNA (5254 nucleotides) under Canis lupus familiaris (dog). RNAcentral describes it as "lncRNA (ENSCAFG00845016447.1)". The record is from RNAcentral. Lineage: Eukaryota; Metazoa; Chordata; Mammalia; Carnivora; Canidae.